Tupaia belangeri chinensis (Chinese tree shrew) is the source of this 443-nucleotide long non-coding RNA. RefSeq lists it as uncharacterized. The record is from RefSeq and is a predicted model, not a curated record. The transcript has 3 exons. Lineage: Eukaryota; Metazoa; Chordata; Mammalia; Scandentia; Tupaiidae.
AGAAGUGUUCUGAGCAUGCAGCAGGCCUUUGGCUUCAGAUGACUCAUUGGCUGCACUGGUUCUCAGGCCUUGGCUUGGUCCGAAUUACACUCCCUCUUCCUUGGUUCCCGUCCGCAUGGGGCAUUUCACGAGAGUUCUUGAAAUGAUGCGUUUCUCCACAUUCGUGUGAACCAGUUCCUAUGGAUCUCUUCCUGUGUAUCUGCAUGUGCCCCAUGACUCUGCUUCUCUGGAGAACUCUGACUGACACAGGAGGAGCCCGUUUGGGAAACAUUUUUGAGCGAUCGCAAGAAGCAGGCUGGGCCAGCCAUUAGAGCUCGCUAAUGAAGUGCUGCUAAGAAAGGAAAGCUAAACACCACGGAAUCAAAGCGGAGCAUUUUGCUUGGCUAAUGGGCUUGAUUGUGAGAUUUUACAGGCUCUUUUAUAAACUUGAAUUUUAUUUUGUG